CUGUCCCUCCAAUUUUUUCGACAUCAAUCACCUUUUCCCUCCAAUACUUUUUAGGUCUUCAUUGUAUAUCACGAAAUUAUUUCAGUAGACACUGUAAAGGCUCUCAUUUUCCUGCUGCCCAACUAAUCUCUGUCUCGCCAUCACCAGCAACCAUCCUAGAAUACAAUGACAAUUCUUGGGGCCAAAGUUAUCAGAAGAUAGGAUAAUAAGAAGAACAUUGACGAUGAUGCAUUAGAUGUUGUUGAGAAUGAUAUUUCAAUGGGUAUCUAGUUUGAUUGAGGUUAUAAUUUCACUGAAAAAAGGGAGUUGCAUCUACUAAAGUAUGACAAAAGAGAGAAGCCAAAAUUCUGCCUCUGAGCUUAUCUUUG
Molecule: non-coding RNA, 368 nt
Organism: Nicotiana tabacum (common tobacco)
Lineage: Eukaryota; Viridiplantae; Streptophyta; Magnoliopsida; Solanales; Solanaceae
Source: RefSeq, a predicted model, not a curated record